CGCGAGUUCGCUGCCGACGGCAGCGACCGCCCGCGAAGAGGGAAUCCGGUGAGACUCCGGAGCUGACCCGCAGCGGUAUGUCGGAACGACCGCCGUCACACGCACUGGGACCGCCCCGCCCGAGCCACGGCUCACCGGCGGCGGCGCCUGGGAAGCGACGGCCAGUAGAAGCGGGCUCCAUUCCUGGCCCGCGCGCCGACGAGCCCGAAGACCUGCCGGAUGUAUCGAGCGCAU
Molecule: non-coding RNA, 234 nt
Filed under: Gordonia sihwensis NBRC 108236
Lineage: Bacteria; Bacillati; Actinomycetota; Actinomycetes; Mycobacteriales; Gordoniaceae
Source: RNAcentral